Salarias fasciatus (jewelled blenny) is the source of this 5066-nucleotide RNA transcript. It is a transcript of the gene named serine/arginine repetitive matrix protein 2-like, with no coding region annotated. The transcript is spliced from 24 exons. Lineage: Eukaryota; Metazoa; Chordata; Actinopteri; Blenniiformes; Blenniidae. The record is from RefSeq and is a predicted model, not a curated record.
GGGUGUGGGUCCAAAAUCUUCAGAGUAUUCUUUUAAAAGUAUUUAUGUAAACUGUCUAAAUUUGAUGUAUCAUUGAUUUGUUGUUUAAAUGAGUUGAAAUGUGACUUGACUUGAGACUCGUUAGUCUCGACUUGAGACUGGACUUGUGACUUGCAAAUCAGUGACUUGAUCCCACUUCUGCUAAUUAGUUUGGGGGCAGAAGAGUUGAGGGGUGCGCUGCACAGGUCUUGGUGAACUUUUUAAUGUGAAUGCCUUUGCAGUUUAUGAUAAAAACUAAUGAUAUAGUCUUUGGAGAAGGGGAUGACUCAUUGAAGAGUGAGUAGAUUUUGCUGAUUGAAUUGACUCUGAGAUUUGCACUGAGAUUUUCAAUCGGUUAUGGUUUAAACUUUGAUAUAAGACUGUGUUUAGUGUAUUAUAAUGAAAACACAUUGUUCAAAUUAUUAAAUUUAAAAUUGUGUUCCAGGACUGUACAUCAUCAGAUUUCAAAGGGGAUCAAGAAAUGGCUAUACUCAUAUUGUGUCUAUAAUACAAAUUAGCAAUGCGUUUGAUAGAAAAGGGUUAAUACUUUAAUGAUCUACACAUUGUAUUUGCUUUUUAAGAGGGUUUUAUUAUGAGGGUUCAUAGUCUGUAUUAGUGUUUAGGUACGGCAUCAAUACAAAACUAUGUUCAAGCAUUUACAAAACUAAUGAAUGGUGCAUGUUAGUUAACUGAGAAUCUGUUAACUAGUCUUGGUGACUCAUAAAUAAGUUUCCUCUUCAACAGAUGAGAUGGAUCACAUUGGCGAUCACAAUGGAGAGAUCACAAUGGAGAGAGUGAGGAAGAGAAAACGAGUCACUCCACAACAGGAUGCAGAGCAACACAUUUGCUUGAAAAUUGAUAAGGCUGGACUCGAAGAGCGUUUUAUCAAUCUGCACAAAGGUCGAGGUGUUUUUGCUACUGAGGAUUUCAGAAAAGGAGACUUUGUGCUUGAAUACCGUGGCAACCUUCUCAAACAGGACAGUCCCCUUGAUUUGAGGCACUAUGAUGACACUGAAGCAGUGUUCCUGUUUGAUUUUAAGUGGAAAGGGAAAAGUUAUUGUCUUGAUGCGUCAGUUGAAGACAAGUCACUGGGAAGGCUUGUGAACGAUGACAACAAAAAGCCAAACUGCAAAAUGAAGACGAUUGGUAUUGGUGGGAUGCCACAUCUAUGCUUGUUUGCAAUAAAGGACAUUACCCCAGGUGAAGAAGUAACUUACAACUAUGGGAAUGCAGACUGGCCUUGGCGCAAGCAGCAGAGGUCAUCGCCUGAAGUCAGCAAGCACACUGUGGAUGAGAGCGACAGAUCUCAGCAGAGGUCAUCGCCUGAAGUCAGCAAGCACACUGUGGAUGAGAGCGACAGAUCUCAGCAGAGGUCAUCGCCUGAAGUCAGCAAGCACACUGUGGAUGAGAGCGACAGAUCUCAGCAGAGGUCAUCGCCUGAAGUCAGCAAGCACACUGUGGAUGAGAGCGACAGAUCUCAGCAGAGGUCAUCGCCUGAAGUCAGCAAGCACACUGUGGAUGAGAGCGACAGAUCUCAGCAGAGGUCAUCGCCUGAAGUCAGCAAGCACACUGUGGAUGAGAGCGACAGAUCUCAGCAGAGGUCAUCGCCUGAAGUCAGCAAGCACACUGUGGAUGAGAGCGACAGAUCUCAGCAGAGGUCAUCGCCUGAAGUCAGCAAGCACACUGUGGAUGAGAGCGACAGAUCUCAGCAGAGGUCAUCGCCUGAAGUCAGCAAGCACACUGUGGAUGAGAGCGACAGAUCUCAGCAGAGGUCAUCGCCUGAAGUCAGCAAGCACACUGUGGAUGAGAGCGACAGAUCUCAGCAGAGGUCAUCGCCUGAAGUCAGCAAGCACACUGUGGAUGAGAGCGACAGAUCUCAGCAGAGGUCAUCGCCUGAAGUCAGCAAGCACACUGUGGAUGAGAGCGACAGAUCUCAGCAGAGGUCAUCGCCUGAAGUCAGCAAGCACACUGUGGAUGAGAGCGACAGAUCUCAGCUGUCAUCUGGUCCUGUGGAUACAUCAAUCAUGGAAGAUAAGAUCAGCUUCAACAGCAGCAAUCCUGGGGCAAAUAACAGCCACUUCUCAUCUUUCAAUUCUCGAAUGGCCAAACUGAGUAAGCACCAUGAGGAAUGCUUCAAUCGACACAAAAUUGCAGAGGAGCAGCGAAAUGCUGAAGAAAAACGACGUACUGCGAUUCUGUUAAAGCGUGCACGGCUGGCACGGGAACUGGCAGAACUGGAUGCUCUUCUGACUUCACAAUCUCCCUUGGGUGAUGCCAUAGAGGACGAGUGUGAUGAUAUUCAACCACUAGCAUCAGACGCUCCAUCUGCGGAUGAAUCCACAAUGGCCAGUGAUCUAGUGGACAGUGGAGAGCCAUCAGCAACAACAGAGGCAAGAGCUCCUGUUAUGUGUUCAUCAUCAUCAUCAUCAUCAGUUUGUCCGAAUUCUGAGGAUUUUUCAGCGGAUGACUCCAAAUGGAAGUCAUUACGACAGAGAAAGGCUGCUGCAUAUGAGGAAAAAUCCCCCGAUGAGUCUGAUAACACAGACUACAAUGAUGCAGACUAUGUUCCAGACACUGAAGGAAGUUACUCUGAACCUGAUGAGGACACAGAACUCCAUCUAGUUGCAAAAAACCCUCUGCUAUCUCUGCGAGAUCCCCUUUUAUCUUCAGCAACCCAAGCUAUUGAUUCUGGAAUUCCUGUGAAAAACCCAACCAGUGACAACCCAAAGCAACAAAACUCCGACACUCCAAGGAAGAGAAAGAGCUCAUCUCCUCAUUUGGAGAAGAGCAAAUCGAGCACUCCAAAGAAAAGCAGAGUCCAACAUCUUUCUGACUCAAUCAAAGUAUGCCCUCCCUCAAAGUCUGGAAGUCGUCGAGUGUAUAACAAAAGAAACUACUGUCUCUAUUGCCUCAAGCCUUCUUCAAAAAUUGCACGACACCUGGAAGCUGUGCACGGAAAUGUAGAAGAGGUUGCCAGAGCAGUUCUGUAUCCAAAGAACUCAAAAGAGAGACGCAACGCAUUAAAUAUUCUGAGACGGCGAGGCAACUUUGCCUAUAAUGCUCAAGUUGUAAGUGAAGGGGCAGGAGAGCUCCAGGCCUGCUACAGACCUCGAAAAGACACAUCUGCUGUUGAAUUUAUUCAUUGUUUUCAUUGUCAAGGACUCUAUGCCAAGAAGACUUUGUGGAAGCACAUGAAAAUCUGUCCAGCACGAGAAGAAACCGAUGAUGAAUCCACGACUGGGAAGCAGCGAGUUCGAUCCAAAUGUGCGCUUAAAACUGCUGUUGUUCAAGAAAUUAGUGAGGGCUUGAAGAGUGUGAUUUCCUGCAUGAGCUACGAUGAGGUCACUCGGACCAUCCAAAAUGACAAACUUCUCUUGCAGUUUGGACAACACCUCUUUGACCUAAAUGGGUCAAGAAAGAACAGACAUGACUUGAUAAGACAAAGACUUCGAGAACUUGGGCGACUAUUAGUAGUUGCUCAGAAGAAAACUCCGAUACGGAAAGCAGAGGAACUCAUCUAUCCAUCCAACUUCUACAGUGUGAUAUCUGCAGUGAAAGAGUUGGCUGGGUACAACACAGACAACAACACAUUUCGCACACCUUCCUUGGCGCUAAAAGUUGGCCACAGUCUGGGUGUACUUUGUGAGCUGGUAGAGACUGAUAAUCUGUCCACAGUUGACAGGGACAACAGCCUGGUGGCAUAUGCUCGUGAAUUCAAGACCAUUAAAAAUUUCAAGUGGAAGGCACUGAUAACCAGAGGCGCAACAACCACUAUGAAAGAGCUGAAAUGGAAUGCACCACAAAUUUUACCUUUCACUGAAGAUGUCCUAUGUUUGGACUCACACAUGGAGAAGGUUAAAGACGAUGCUGAAAGAAAGCUGAAAGUUUCUCCCUCUGCAUACAGCUAUGCAACACUUGCCAAAGUGACGCUGGCACAGGUGAUCAUUUUCAACAGAAGAAGAGAAGGAGAGGUGUCAAGAAUGGAGCUGGCCACUUUCAUGGCAAGGAAGAAGUCAGAACUCAACAAGGACAUGGAAGCCUGUCUCACACCUCUUGAGAAGAAGAUGUGCGAUUUCUUUACCAGAGUAGAAAUCAGGGGAAAACGAGGAAGAGGAGUCCCUGUGCUGCUAAAACCAUCAAUGCUCUCAGCUAUGGAGCUCCUUGCUGAAACUCGUGAGAUGUGUGGAGUCCUCAAAGAGAACGUUUAUAUGUUCGCUCGACCAGGUGCCUUGUCUGCGUACAGAGGGGAGAAUGCAUCCAGAAGUUUGCAAGGGAAAGUGGUGCAAAAAAUCCAGAGGCUUUAACAUCAACAAGGCUGCGAAAGCACAUCGCUACAAUGUCUCAAGUACUCAAUCUUCAAGAAAAUGAGUCGGACCAACUUGCAGACUUUCUGGGUCACGAUAUUCGUGUGCACAGACAGUAUUACCGCCUGCCACAGGGAACACUACAGCUUGCCAAAAUGAGCAAAGUGCUUUUGGCAGUGGAGAAGGGGACCCUCUCCCAGUAUAAAGGCCAAGCUCUUGACAACAUUGAGAUUGACCCUGAAGAAAAAGUUGACUGUUCAGAAGAACCAGACAUAUCAAGUGAUGAGGAUGAGCCUGCCGAUGUCAGCUCAGCCACAGAGACCACAGCUGAAGAUGAACGUGAGGCAGAGGUGGCAUCUCCACUUCUUUCCACUUUCUCUGAUGACACUCUCAAUCAAGAGAUUUCACAGACACAUCUGAAAAGAGACACCUCCAAACGUAAGUGGGAAGACAGUGAGGUACGUGCUGUGGAAAGACACAUGAUGGGCUUCAUACAUACUUGCAAGGUACCACAAAAGAUGGACUGUCUGCGAUGUAUCAGGGCAGAGCCCGAUGCACUGAGAGACCGCAACUGGACUGGUGUAAAAAAUUACGUCAGAAAUCGAAUCACUGCUAUGAAGAGAAAGGCUUGUGCUAAACAAUAAGAGCCAGUAUAUGUUGCUUUUCAGAUCAGCAGAUCAUCGUUUUCUCUUCUGGACUAAACAGACUUGUUAUCUGUUACCUGUAUGUUUCUAGCCACAGAAA